CUCCGCCCCUGCCCCGCCGCCAAUCGCCGCGCGCUGACCCGCUGAGAUGGGCGGGGCCAUGGGCGGGGCCCGGAAGGCUAGGUCGAAUUCAGCGGCGAAGUCCAAGCGCUCGAGGUGGGAAAGGGCUUGCAGCGCCUUUGGGGUCGGCCGCCACUCCUCCACGGCGGAAGGACGAGAUUGCCACCUGCAGGCUGGGGAGCAGGGCACGCCUGGGCUGGUCUUCUGAAUCCUCCGCCGCGAAGGGGCCCCCCGGGCUUUAUAACAACCUAGGGCCAGGCGGAAAAGGAUUUAGGGCAACCUUCAAGAUACGUACAGUCUAGCACGACAAAGGACAUUGAAUAUAGGUGAGGCAAAGACAGAAUAAAUACAGGAAAUUGUACAGAACCAAGGCAUAGACUUGAGCACGUUCACGGGUUAAGGAGGAAGGAGUCAUUGGAAAAAGAGAGGUUGAAGAGACGGCACAAACUUCUGUAAUAGGGAAGACACUUUGUACUCUAUUAUGAGUUAAUCACUACAGAAAUUGUUGCCUCUCACAGGAAACAUCCUGACCAGGCGGACCUGUGGAUGACUGCAGGGGAGGAAGAAAUUAACACAUCUCUUGUGGAGGCUGACUGGAACCAGGAAACGUUUGACUUCACUCCUUCCCUUUUUAUUUUUAUUUUUUGUGGUACGCGGGCCUCUCACUGUUGUGGCCUCUCCCGUUGCGGAGCACAGGCUCCGGACGCGCAGGCUCAGCGGCCAUGGCUCACGGGCCCAGCCGCUUCGCGGCAUGUGGGAUCUUCCCGGACCGGGGCACGAACCCGUAUCCCCUGCAUCGGCAGGCGGAUUCUCAACCACUGCGCCACCAGGGAAGCCCACUCCCUCCCUUCUUAGUAUAAAAGAAGCCUGAAUUCUAACUCAGGCAAGAUGGUUCUUUGG
Long non-coding RNA from Physeter macrocephalus (sperm whale), 918 nucleotides. RefSeq lists it as uncharacterized. Lineage: Eukaryota; Metazoa; Chordata; Mammalia; Artiodactyla; Physeteridae. The record is from RefSeq and is a predicted model, not a curated record. The transcript has 4 exons.